GAACGCACCGCAAGGUGAGUGGCGCACGGGUGAGUAACGCGUGGGAACCUGCCCUGGAGUGGGGGAUAACCCGGCGAAAGCCGGGCUAAUACCGCAUACGUCCUGAGGGAGAAAGAUUUAUCGCUCUAGGAGGGGCCCGCGUCGGAUUAGCUAGUUGGUGAGGUAACGGCUCACCAAGGCGACGAUCCGUAGCUGGUCUGAGAGGAUGAUCAGCCACACUGGGACUGAGACACGGCCCAGACUCCUACGGGAGGCAGCAGUGGGGAAUAUUGGACAAUGGGGGCAACCCUGAUCCAGCAAUGCCGCGUGAGUGAUGAAGGCCUUAGGGUUGUAAAGCUCUUUCGGCGGGGACGAUGAUGACGGUACCCGCAGAAGAAGCCCCGGCUAACUUCGUGCCAGCAGCCGCGGUAAUACGAAGGGGGCAAGCGUUGUUCGGAAUUACUGGGCGUAAAGGGCGCGCAGGCGGCCGACGUAGUCAGGCGUGAAAGCCCCGGGCUUAACCUGGGAAUUGCGUUUGAUACUCGUUGGCUGGAGUUCGGGAGAGGAUGGUGGAAUUCCCAGUGUAGAGGUGAAAUUCGUAGAUAUUGGGAAGAACACCGGUGGCGAAGGCGGCCAUCUGGACCGAAACUGACGCUGAGGCGCGAAAGCGUGGGGA
RNAcentral lists this ribosomal RNA (655 nucleotides) under uncultured bacterium. RNAcentral describes it as "bacterial SSU rRNA". It matches the Rfam family "Bacterial small subunit ribosomal RNA", at positions 64 to 767 of the family's 1533-position model. The record is from RNAcentral. RNAcentral also lists the same sequence under 1 other name.